GCUCAUGAUGAACGCUAGCUACAGGCUUAACACAUGCAAGUCGAGGGGCAGCAUGGUCUUAGCUUGCUAAGGCCGAUGGCGACCGGCGCACGGGUGAGUAACACGUAUCCAACCUGCCGUCUACUCUUGGACAGCCUUCUGAAAGGAAGAUUAAUACAAGAUGGCAUCAUGAGUCCGCAUGUUCACAUGAUUAAAAGUAUUCCGGUAGACGAUGGGGAUGCGUUCCAUUAGAUAGUAGGCGGGGUAACGGCCCACCUAGUCUUCGAUGGAUAGGGGUUCUGAGAGGAAGGUCCCCCACAUUGGAACUGAGACACGGUCCAAACUCCUACGGGAGGCAGCAGUGAGGAAUAUUGGUCAAUGGGCGAGAGCCUGAACCAGCCAAGUAGCGUGAAGGAUGACUGCCCUAUGGGUUGUAAACUUCUUUUAUAAAGGAAUAAAGUCGGGUAUGCAUACCCGUUUGCAUGUACUUUAUGAAUAAGGAUCGGCUAACUCCGUGCCAGCAGCCGCGGUAAUACGGAGGAUCCAAGCGUUAUCCGGAUUUAUUGGGUUUAAAGGGAGCGUAGAUGGAUGUUUAAGUCAGUUGUGAAAGUUUGCGGCUCAACCGUAAAAUUGCAGUUGAUACUGGAUAUCUUGAGUGCAGUUGAGGCAGGCGGAAUUCGUGGUGUAGCGGUGAAAUGCUUAGAUAUCACGAAGAACUCCGAUUGCGAAGGCAGCCUGCUAAGCUGCAACUGACAUUGAGGCUCGAAAGUGUGGGUAUCAAACAGGAUUAGAUACCCUGGUAGUCCACACGGUAAACGAUGAAUACUCGCUGUUUGCGAUAUACGGCAAGCGGCCAAGCGAAAGCGUUAAGUAUUCCACCUGGGGAGUACGCCGGCAACGGUGAAACUCAAAGGAAUUGACGGGGGCCCGCACAAGCGGAGGAACAUGUGGUUUAAUUCGAUGAUACGCGAGGAACCUUACCCGGGCUUAAAUUGCAGAUGAAUUACGGUGAAAGCCGUAAGCCGCAAGGCAUCUGUGAAGGUGCUGCAUGGUUGUCGUCAGCUCGUGCCGUGAGGUGUCGGCUUAAGUGCCAUAACGAGCGCAACCCUUGUUGUCAGUUACUAACAGGUUCCGCUGAGGACUCUGACAAGACUGCCAUCGUAAGAUGUGAGGAAGGUGGGGAUGACGUCAAAUCAGCACGGCCCUUACGUCCGGGGCUACACACGUGUUACAAUGGGGGGUACAGAGGGCCGCUACCACGCGAGUGGAUGCCAAUCCCCAAAACCUCUCUCAGUUCGGACUGGAGUCUGCAACCCGACUCCACGAAGCUGGAUUCGCUAGUAAUCGCGCAUCAGCCACGGCGCGGUGAAUACGUUCCCGGGCCUUGUACACACCGCCCGUCAAGCCAUGGGAGCCGGGGGUGCCUGAAGUGCGUAACCGCGAGGAG
Molecule: ribosomal RNA, 1426 nt
Filed under: uncultured organism
Description: 16S ribosomal RNA
Rfam family: Bacterial small subunit ribosomal RNA
Source: RNAcentral